UACGUAGGGCGCAAGCGUUGUCCGGAAUUAUUGGGCGUAAAGAGCUCGUAGGCGGUCUGUUACGUCCGCUGUGAAAACCCAGGGCUUAACCCUGGGCUUGCAGUGGAUACGGGCAGACUAGAGGCAGGUAGGGGAGAAUGGAAUUCCCGGUGUAGCGGUGAAAUGCGCAGAUAUCGUAAGGAAGACCAGUGGCGAAGGCGGGUCUCUGGACAGUUCCUGACGCUGAGGCACGAAGGUCAGGGGAGCAAACGGG
This 253-nucleotide ribosomal RNA is filed under the name uncultured bacterium. RNAcentral describes it as "partial 16S ribosomal RNA". It matches the Rfam family "Bacterial small subunit ribosomal RNA", at positions 524 to 776 of the family's 1533-position model. The record is from RNAcentral.